This is a long non-coding RNA of Melanotaenia boesemani (Boeseman's rainbowfish), 542 nucleotides long. RefSeq lists it as uncharacterized. The transcript has 3 exons. NCBI's taxonomy places the organism in Eukaryota, Metazoa, Chordata, Actinopteri, Atheriniformes, Melanotaeniidae. The record is from RefSeq and is a predicted model, not a curated record.
AGCAGCUGGAUGCAGAUCUGAUACACAAAGUCUAGAAAUGGAAAGUUGUGUCCAUCAGACCAACACAGCGGAUUCUGGGAUGUUCUGCUCUCUUGGUGAAACAAGCUAAACGUUAUUCAGAGAUGGACUGAAAACACUCGGUGUGCUGGACUAAAUCCAAGCUCAGCUCUUCUGUGCUGGUCUCCUGCAGCCUCUCAGCUGAUGUGGCCGACAGUCUUUUCAUUAUCCGCCAUCUCCAGCUGGCAGCAACAGAAGCUGCUGAGGAAGUUCUUCCUUUCUGGAGACACACGCAGAAAUGAGGAAGGAACAGAAACUGGGAACGAUCCUCGCCUUUUCCACAGGAGCCAACACUCCUUCACCGACUGGGUUCUCUCCUCCACAAAGAGGAGGAUUCAGGAAGCUGCAAAGCUGCCGCUGCAAACAGCUGCACUAACUGCUUGAAGCUACGCUGCAGACCUCAUACGGAGACCUUCAGGAAAACAGGGGCUCUGCGGUGGGCGGGACCCUUGGUUUUAGCCCAGCGUAAUAUGUGUACAGGUCUG